CCUAUAUAUACAGUAGACGAGGAGGAAGGAAUCACUGAAGCCACAACAGUUUCACCGUCAACAACAUGUCUUCUGUCAGCCUCAGUCUUCUCCUCCUCUCAUUGGCGGUGAGGGGGAGCGUACAGCUGUGUGCCCCAGACUGUUCAGGUGUUGAUCCAGGGACCAAAGUGAGGGACCCCACCGACUGCACCAAGUACUACGAGUGUAUUUACGUCUCCGGAGAGAUUGAGCCGUCAGCUGAACCAGUGUCGUGUCCUGACGGAAACUAAUA
Long non-coding RNA from Homarus americanus (American lobster), 271 nucleotides. RefSeq lists it as uncharacterized. NCBI's taxonomy places the organism in Eukaryota, Metazoa, Arthropoda, Malacostraca, Decapoda, Nephropidae. The record is from RefSeq and is a predicted model, not a curated record. The transcript is spliced from 3 exons.